GAUCCGCCCAGCGCCGAAUCCCCCGCCUUCGGCGGAGGGAACUGUGGCGUUUAGGAGUGAGCGUGCCGGGAUCGGACUGGACAGCAAGUCCCCCUGACCGGGGCCUAUCCAGAGCGGGUGCGAGGCCCAUAGCCGCCCGGUCCGUCCCGGAUGCGAUCUCCUUGGAGUCGGGUUGCUUGGGAGUGCAGCCCUAAUCGGGUGGUAAACUCCACCUAAGGCUAAAUACCGCCGUGAGACCGAUAGCAAACAAGUACCGUGAGGGAAAGUUGCAAAGAACUUUGAAGAGAGAGUUCAAGAGUACGUGAAACUGCUCAGAGGUAAACGGGUGGGCCCUCGAAAUCCUGUGGCGAGAGGAUUCAGUCUGGCGCGGCGGACGCGGUGGUCGGAAAGUUCGGAAGGGCUUCCCGGGACCGGGGCCGUCCGAUCGCGCGACUUCUGCUGCGCCCGACGCAUUUGUCUCUCGUCCGAAGGACGCUGCAGCCGGUUGGGAACCGCAAGCGUGACGGCCUGAAGGGCGGAAGCCGGCAGGUGGCCGGUGGCGUGCCUCGUGCGCGUCGCCGGUUGUUAGCCAUUCCGCCAGUGGCCCGUCUCCCGACCGAGGUGUCACCAGGCCCUUUGCGGCCUACGCGUCUCCUCCCCAGGAUGCGGGACGGACCGUCGCAGGCGAAGCCCGCUGUCCCGUCGCACUCCUCCGGAGUGGGCGGGCAAACGGGCGGCGUCGUUGGCGGCGGCGGGCCCGUGGGAGAUUGGAGGCUGGCAGCGAGUAGGUCGGUCACCCACCCGACCCGUCUUGAAACACGGACCAAGGAGUCUAACAUGUGCGCGAGUCAAUGGGUCUUGAAUAGGCCCAGGGGCGCAAUGAAAGCAAAGGCCGGCCCGCGCCGGCCGAGUUGGGAUCCCCGCCCUCCGUGGCGGGGCGCACCAACGACCCGUCCUAUCCGGCUCGCCGGUUGGGCGGAGUGUGAGCGUACACGUUGGGACCCGAAAGAUGGUGAACUAUGCCCGGACAGGACGAGGCCAGAGGAAACUCUGGUGGAGGUC
Molecule: ribosomal RNA, 1041 nt
Filed under: Asemonea tenuipes
Lineage: Eukaryota; Metazoa; Arthropoda; Arachnida; Araneae; Salticidae
Description: eukaryotic LSU rRNA
Rfam family: Eukaryotic large subunit ribosomal RNA
Source: RNAcentral